This 219-nucleotide long non-coding RNA is filed under the name Elaeis guineensis (African oil palm). RNAcentral describes it as "long non-coding RNA (EGUI_LNC068062)". The record is from RNAcentral. Lineage: Eukaryota; Viridiplantae; Streptophyta; Magnoliopsida; Arecales; Arecaceae.
GUGAUUCUUUAGAAUAAGGUUCUCAAGAGGGAGAACCCAGCUUCGAGCUCAGGUGGCGAUAGCUCAGCUUUGGUGGUUUCUAGAGAAGCAAGAGGCAACAGAUAGAGUGACAGGAGAUCAUAGCAAAGGCGGCCCAAGUCCAGGAUGAGAGACUUGAGCAAGAUCAAAUGUUACAGGUAUGAUGAGUUGGGACAUCUAGUUAGAGAUUACCCUCAACUC